UGGGGAAUAUUGGACAAUGGGCGAAAGCCUGAUCCAGCCAUGCCGCGUGUGUGAAGAAGGUCUUGGGAUUGUAAAGCACGUUAAGUUGGUAGGAAGGGCAUUAACCUAAUACGUUAGUGUUUUGACGUUACCGACAGAAUAAGCACCGGCUAACUCUGUGCCAGCAGCCGCGGUAAUACAGAGGGUGCAAGCGUUAAUCGGAAUUACUGGGCGUAAAGCGCGCGUAGGUGGUUUGUUAAGUUGGAUGUGAAAUCCCCGGGCUCAACCUGGGAACUGCAUUCAAAACUGACUGACUAGAGUAUGGUAGAGGGUGGUGGAAUUUCCUGUGUAGCGGUGAAAUGCGUAGAUAUAGGAAGGAACACCAGUGGCGAAGGCGACCACCUGGACUAAUACUGACACUGAGGUGCGAAGGCGUGGGGAGCAAACA
This 427-nucleotide ribosomal RNA is filed under the name uncultured bacterium. RNAcentral describes it as "partial 16S ribosomal RNA". It matches the Rfam family "Bacterial small subunit ribosomal RNA", at positions 355 to 774 of the family's 1533-position model. The record is from RNAcentral.